UAGUGAGGUGACACAAGCCUGAACCACAUUUCCUGUUUUUAAGAAAGCUGGUGGAAAAAAAAGGCUGGAGACCUUAAAGACUGGUGGCAGCUGUAGAGAUAGAUUCAUGCUGCCAGGUCCAACGCAAAAGAGCAUCCAAUGUUUGCCAACAUAACUUGACUGUCUGUUGGAUAAAGGGUGGGGAGUAUUCCUAGAAACAACAAAACCAGUUUGCAGCACUGUAAAAUAUACUAAGAGGAGACAAGUAACUCCAUCCCUAAACUCAGAAAAAUAAAAACAUCAUCCAGAUGGAGCAAAUUACCUAAGUUUUGGACAGGUUGCAUAGGAUGCAAAUGCUGAGUGACUAAUUGUAGACUAACCAGGUUCCAAACAGUGAUGGUUCUUGACGUGCCUUGAUAACAUCUUCUCAAGUUGCAGAAAUGGACUGCCAUUUUUCUGUCUGGGGAGUCUUGGCCUUUCUGAGUUUGGCUCUUGUUGUUUCGUUGAUACUGAACAUUUCACACUAUAUGAAAAAGAAGCAAGCUAAAAAGUGUAAAGACUAUGAAGAGAACAGUCCAAGCUAUGAUGGCUACUACACAGAAGAUGACCCAGUUUAUGGCAAUCUCAAUCAAGAGAUUUUAGAGGAAUGUUGUUAUGAGCAGAUGAAGUCCCAGCCUCAAAGGACAGUUAACCAGCUACAGGUGGAGUCUGCCAAUCAGAUGUGUUAUGCCUCACUUGAUCACAGUGUCAAGGGAAAACGCAGAAAACCGAGGAGAAAGAAAGGGUCUUCAUUAGAGGAGGAUGAAGAAGAAAGAUCAUCUAACCCCACCAUGAUGGCUUCCAAAGUUAGCAUUUAUCUCAACAGUGAGCAGCUGGCUGCUGAAAACACGACAAACGUAGAAGCCAUUCAUGAUGAUCCCAUGAGAUUAAUGGGCUUGAUUCAUACUACAAAGGAGAGAACAUUUGAAGUGGCUUCAUAAACCAAAUAUGUAAUCAUAAAGUGAUAUCUGCUUCUUCAUUCUGGAAAAACAGUGGCAAUAACUUGACAAACUGACAUACCAAACCAUGUUAUAAAAUGGCAGUGGCGACAGCCCACAACAUCAACCAGGCAUUCGGCCCAGGAACUGCUAAGGAAUGUACAGUACAAUGGUGGUUUAAGAAGUUUCACAAAGGAGAUGAGAGCCUUGAAGAUGACGAGGGUAGCGGCCAGCCAUUGCAAGUUGACAAUCACCAGUUCAGAGCAAUCAUCAAAGCUGAUCAUCUUACAACUACAGGAGAAGUUGCUGAAGAACUUAGUGUGAACCGUCCUACAGAUGCUUGGCAUUUGAAGCAAACUGGAAAGGUGAAAAAGGUGAUGGAUUGAUGAAAAGUGGAAUUUGUACAAAAACUGACGAUGACCAGCUCUGUGGUUGGACAGAGAAGAACAUCCAAAACACUUCCCAAAGCCAAACUUGCACCAAAAAAAGGUCAUGGUCACUGUUUGGUGGUCUGCUGCCAGUCUGAUCCACUACAGCUUUCUGAAUCCUGGCAAAACCCGAAAAGUAUGCUCAGCAAAUCAGUGAGAUGCACUGAAAACUGCAAAGCCUGCAGCCAGCCCUUGGUCAAUGGAAAGGGCCCAAUUCUUCUCCUCGACAAUGCCCAACUGCAUGUCACCCAGUGCUUCAGAAGUUGAAUAAAUUGGGCUACGAAGUUUUGCCUCAUCUGCCAUAUUCCCCUGACACCCACUUCUUCAAGCAUCUUGACAAUUUUUUGCAGGGAAAAAUGCUUCCAAUACCAGCAGGAUGCAGAAAAUGCUUUCCAAGAGUUUGUCAAAUCCCGAAGCAUGGAUUUUUAUGCCAGAGGAAUAAACAAACUUAUUUAUUAUUGGAAAAAUGUGUUGACUGUAAUGGUUCCUAUUUUGACUUAUAAAGAUGUGUUUGAGUCUAGUUAUAACGAUUUAAAAUUCAUGGUCCAAACCCACCAUUACUUUUGCACCAACUAAUAAUAUGCCUACCUCUAAGUGUCAGAGAGUUCUGCCUUCUCAAAAUAAGGAUGUUAGAGCCUUUAAAAUCCAUGCAGAACACAGUGUCAAGGAGUUUGAAACUCUCAAGGACAUAGAGCCCUGCAAAUGUUUCAGGUCCUGAAAAAU
Columba livia (rock pigeon) is the source of this 2107-nucleotide RNA transcript. It is a transcript of the gene named T-cell receptor-associated transmembrane adapter 1, with no coding region annotated. The transcript is spliced from 9 exons. NCBI's taxonomy places the organism in Eukaryota, Metazoa, Chordata, Aves, Columbiformes, Columbidae. The record is from RefSeq and is a predicted model, not a curated record.